This 494-nucleotide ribosomal RNA is filed under the name uncultured bacterium. RNAcentral's name for it is "partial 16S ribosomal RNA". It matches the Rfam family "Bacterial small subunit ribosomal RNA", at positions 28 to 507 of the family's 1533-position model. The record is from RNAcentral.
GACGAACGCUGGCGGCGUGCUUAACACAUGCAAGUCGAACGGUGAAGCGCCUUCCUUUUUGGUGGGUGUGGGUGAGUGGCGAACGGGUGAGUAACACGUGAGUAACCUGCCCCCUUCUUCCGGCUAACCGCAUGAAAGUGUGUCUAAUACGGGAUAUUCUGCGUCAGUCUCAUGAUGGGUCUGGUAAAGUUAUUGUUUCGGUGGGGGAUGGGCUCGCGGCCUAUCAGUUGGUUGGCGGGGUGAAGGCUUACCAAGGCUGUGACGGGUAGCCGGCCUGGGCGGGUGGACGGUCUGGCUGGGGAUGAGGCACAGCCAAGACGCGAAUGGGACGCAGCAGUGAGGAAUACUGGACGAUGGAGGGAAGCCUGAUGCAGCGACGGCGCGUGAGUGAUGGAGCCAUGCGGGGUGUGAGACUCAUGCGCUAGUGAAGCAGAGCUGCCUCGUUUGUGAGGAUGUUGACAGUAGCUGGAGAAUAAGCGCCGGCUAACUACGUG